GUGAAAGGUCGCUGGUCCCCGGCAACACGGCUCAGGCAAACGUAAGCGGCUUGUCGCAGAAACCAAGGGGUCCACGAAACGCGCUAGGCUAGAAGGCGGGAAGGAGAGAUUACUGACAGCCGUGCCAGCCAAUAAAAUAGAAAUCAACAGUGAGAGCUCAGAAAUUCCCAGACUGUUUUGAUGAUAAGGUCCAAGAACUUGCCAUGUGAUCCAUCACUACUAGACUCCCACAACUGCAUUAGAUUUGUUCAGGAUUUUCAUAUAAUUUUCAUAACUGGCUAAGUUCUGAAAUAACCCAUCUUGAAGACAUAAACAAUGUGCAUUGAUGGCUAGCCAGACUCUGUCCUGCCACAGUUCUCCUCCUACUCUUCAUUUCUUACCCCAAGGAGUAGUAAA
RNAcentral lists this long non-coding RNA (396 nucleotides) under Homo sapiens (human). Its description in RNAcentral is "non-protein coding LINC02588:18". Lineage: Eukaryota; Metazoa; Chordata; Mammalia; Primates; Hominidae. The record is from RNAcentral.